Molecule: ribosomal RNA, 466 nt
Filed under: uncultured bacterium
Lineage: Bacteria
Description: partial 16S ribosomal RNA
Rfam family: Bacterial small subunit ribosomal RNA
Source: RNAcentral
GAUGAACGCUGGCGGCGUGCUUAACACAUGCAAGUCGAACGAUGAAGCCCAGCUUGCUGGGUGGAUUAGUGGCGAACGGGUGAGUAACACGUGAGUAACCUGCCCUUAACUCUGGGAUAAGCCUGGGAAACUGGGUCUAAUACCGGAUAGGAGCGUCCACCGCAUGGUGGGUGUUGGAAAGAUUUAUCGGUUUUGGAUGGACUCGCGGCCUAUCAGCUUGUUGGUGAGGUAAUGGCUCACCAAGGCGACGACGGGUAGCCGGCCUGAGAGGGUGACCGGCCACACUGGGACUGAGACACGGCCCAGACUCCUACGGGAGGCAGCAGUGGGGAAUAUUGCACAAUGGGCGAAAGCCCGAUGCAGCGACGCCGCGUGAGGGAUGACGGCCUUCGGGUUGUAAACCUCUUUCAGUAGGGAAGAAGCGAAAGUGACGGUACCUGCAGAAGAAGCACCGGCUAACUACGUG